UGCCUUUAUAAUCUGGAAAUGCUUAAAGUAAUAUAAGGCAUGCUGUAAAAUGUGGAAUGGACUUUAAUAUCAUUUUUCAUGAUUUGGUGCUUAAACUGUUUCUUUUAGUCAGAUUAACCAUAAAUAGAGUUGGCAAUCCAAUAAUUCCUCCUGAAUCACCAUGUUUGACUUCUGUGUUUUGUUGAAACAUCAUAUAUUUGGGUUUUGUGCACUCCUUAGGUUAAAAUGGUAAGAUGAAAAAAAAGUGAAAAUCUGCCAGAUGGGGUAGGGUUGUAAUCUUUCAUUUUUUUUGGUAAGAAAUGAGUGCAGACAAGUAUUCUUUAUUGUACUAUGUUCAAAAGUAAGAAGUCUAUGCAUCAUAGGUGUCAUGACUGGUUUCAGGUUUGUUAUGUCUUGGUUAAGGUGGCACGGUAGUAUUUGCAUUCCAGAAUUUAGGUUGCUCUUUUGUGUACCCUACUUAGGUUAAUGUAUCUAAACAGUGUGAUUGGACAAAAAAUACAGUAUCAACUGAACAUACUUUCCCAAACUGAGGGAUGAAUCAGGUGUAGAAAAAUAUGAAAUAAUUUUACAUACAGAUGAAAAUGAAUUUUUGAGAAUUUUUUUUAAUUUUGUAUUCACUGCACCAUAAAAGACCUAAAAACACUAGUGGCCUUAGGUAUUUAAAUAUAGCAAAAAAAGUAAACGGUCAUGAUACAUAUUCAAAUUCAUUUCUAAAUAGUAAAAUGAAAGUACUUCAGUUAACUGUGAAUGUAGAAUUUUUUGCAGUGUUAGAAAGUGGUGAAAAUUCUAAAAAGGCUAUCAUUAUCCCUAUGGGCCAGGAAAUACUACCGUGCCACCUUAAGGGGGAUAUAUAUUUUUACACUAAAUCAAUAAAAGAAUUUUUUUUACCUAUGCAAUUUGUAAGUUUAUCAAUAAAAAUUUGAUUUAGGGCAACUAUGAUAAAAACAAGCCUUAAAUUCCACCCUGAGAGUAAAAAUUGCUGAUUCAGCAAAUUUUGCCUGAUCUGUUGGUAAUAAUGUAAAAAUUUACCUAAAAAGUAGAACUUCAUUGUUUUUAUGUAACUUUCAAUAUAUUAAUUAUAUAGGCUCGCUUUAACUUUUCGCAGUGUCUGACACAUGUGCAACCACUGGAAUUUGAGACGCGACAUUCUUUGAUUGCAUGUACAUCCUAUUAUUUUCACCGAAAUAAAUAAAUUGCAUAAUUCUUUAUUUUUUCAACACAAGUACAGCUAUACUAGUUUUCUUCAGGUUUUAUUUGUAGUUCUGAGGUAUCAUGACACCAGUAGGAGCAUUUUGGGAACCAGUAAGUGGUUAAGGGGUCCUUACUUAUUCAUUUAGCCCUCAUAUUUGGCUGAAAUAGAGAUAGCAAUAGGGGUUGCUUUACAUUGAAAAGACAUUAUUUUUGACAAAGAAUGUAAUUAUAAUGUUAUAUCAGCAUGAUUAAAUGGUUUAUUCAUUUUCCAUGCAAAUGCCAUUAAUUGUUAAGAUUUUCUGACAGUGAAAAGCAAAAUAAAGGCAAUUUGAUUAUGUAAGGGGACAUAAUUUAACUUAAUGCAUACAUGAGAAAUAGACAAACAGUCAACUUAGAGAUGUGUUCUAGUACAUGUAUUGUCAAAAACAUUUUAGAAUAAUAGUUAACUGUAAUCUAAAGACUCUUGUUGUAUUGCCUUUAUAAUCUGGAAAUGCUUAAAGUAAUAUAAGGCAUGCUGUAAAAUGUGGAAUGGACUUUAAUAUCAUUUUUCAUGAUUUGGUGCUUAAACUGUUUCUUUUAGUCAGAUUAACCAUAAAUAGAGUUGGCAAUCCAAUAAUUCCUCCUGAAUCACCAUGUUUGACUUCUGUGUUUUGUUGAAACAUCAUAUAUUUGGGUUUUGUGCACUCCUUAGGUUAAAAUGGUAAGAUAAAAAAAAAAGUGAAA
RNAcentral lists this long non-coding RNA (1914 nucleotides) under Mytilus galloprovincialis (Mediterranean mussel). Lineage: Eukaryota; Metazoa; Mollusca; Bivalvia; Mytilida; Mytilidae. The record is from RNAcentral.